Molecule: long non-coding RNA, 2360 nt
Organism: Salvia splendens (bonfire salvia)
Lineage: Eukaryota; Viridiplantae; Streptophyta; Magnoliopsida; Lamiales; Lamiaceae
Exons: 3
Source: RefSeq, a predicted model, not a curated record
AACAAAUAACAUAAGCCCAGCUCUCAAAUAAAAUUUAAAACUAACAUAAGCCCAAUCACAUAAUAAAAAAAAUUAACUAUAAUUAACAUCACUAAUUAAAGGUACAUAAGCUUAUCUCAUUCCCAAACACGCCGCCACUCAACUACUGUUUCCAAACCCUAACCAACCAAAACCCAAUCCGAGCGCAGCCGGCGAUUACGAAGACAAAGUCUCCACCGCUUGAAUAAACGGUGACACCGAGUAAUCAUCAAGCCGCUGACUGCGGUUAUUCCAAUUUUUCUCGGCGUAAACAACGCAGCGACGAAAUACGCAACAAUACAAAAAAUACAGAUCGAAAGAAAUCCAACAUUGUUUCGUCUAAAACAUCCAAGCCGACAUACAUCUUGAAAACCCUAACUCCGAUCGGCGGAAACUAUGUCCGGCGAAGAAAUCGGCCAAAACUGGUACAAACUUCAACCACAUAAGGUUUAAAUUCAGCAUAUAUACUAAAGAGCAGUAAUGGUGCUAUCUGCUUUGAGAAAGAGUUUGAAUGGUAUAUACAGACAUUUAACAUUUUAUAAGUAUCUUUCUAAGAAACAGAAGGAUAUUCUCAAACACCAACUUCUGAGAAAUUCAACUGAUGUCAAUCAAGGUAAUGAGCUUUUUAACUUAUUAGCAAAAAUGUAUUGCAUGUUAUUGUUGAUGAUAAAGUUAUGAUUAGGCUGACAUGUUUUAUUCAAGUGUAACAACAAAAAUAUAAUUUAGAGUCUAACAAAGUCGUGUGAUGAUGUUAAAUUAAACAUAACCAUCAAAAAGAAGUCUAAACUAACAACAUCAAAUAUAAAAAAACCAUAUUCAUAAGUACAAAACAGAAAGCUAACAAUUAAUAGAAAUAAAAACAUUGACUGAAACACAAAAUAUCACAUUGGUUAUCCACAAUCUCUUUCUUCUUGUUAGACUGAGCAUAUUGACAUCAUCACAUGAAUCAAACUCUUUAACACCUUUUGACAGUUCCUUCAACUAUCCAAUCAACAUGAGUAUCAUUGACAAUUGAUGUCAAAUUAGGCGUAACAAAGCUUGCUCGAGACAUCUGUAAAAAUGAAAUGAACAGUGUGAUUUCAUAUCUUCAGGCAAAUACUUGGCCACAGUUUCUGGAAUGUUGCAUACUUUAUUAACAGUGUAUAGAUAGAUCAUACAAAAUUCCAAACUAUCUCUUAGAUGUACUUUCAACAAAUUCUUAUGUCCCUAAAGUUUUUAUCAAUCUCCUUAGAUAUAACAUCUUGUUGAUUAGCCUGCCAAAAAUAUGACAUUUACUCUAAUCGACAAAACAUAAUUCUACAGUUUUAUACAUCACUCUCAGCCAUCACAACUUCUAAGACUCUCCCCAGUUAGCUAGCCAAUCUCUAUGACAAAUCUGUACCUAUAAACCCAAUAAUUUGAAAAUAUCAAACUAAAAUUCAAAAAUGGCAUAACUAAUCGAUAAAAUAUCUUAUAAAGAAAUUUCAAAUACCUCUUACAUACAUAUCAAUAGUCUUUCUUACACUAAUCACACAUGUAUUUCCCAGGAGCAAAUUCUUUCAUUUUUUUAUAACUAAUCUUGGAUGCAUUAUAAUACCAGUGACCAUAAUGACAUUCCACAGCCUCAAUCCUCGCAAAUACCCAAUGAGAGCAAUUCUGUGAAUAAUAAUACUUCUUCACUAAAAUUCAUGAUGUAGAUAACUCACUUCAGAUAGAAAAUAUAGAAAAAUAUAAUAAUACAUUCAAAAUCUGAAAUUUAAACCUCUAGGCAGUGAAUAUCUUCUAAAGAUUUAGUUGUAUUAAGCUGUAUGGAACAGCAGCCCCUGUUGUAGAGUACAACACAACAGGGGAUCCAAAUCCUUUUAUUUAACUUGAAACUGACAAAACUGCAAAACAUAAAUGAUUAGUAUAUGGAGAAAAAUACAGAACAUGAUUCCUAAAUGCAGAACAUGAUUCCAAAGAUAUAGCUAAUCAGAUUUGAAUAAACUGCUGAACAAUGAUUAGUACAUUGAGAAAAAUGCUUCACUAACAGAUUACUAAAUAAAUCAAAACAUGAUUCCUAAAUUAGACUAAAACCAAAAUACCAAAAUGGAUAUCAGAUAAGAUUAAUGUAAUAUCCGGAAAAAAAAAUAUUGAAUAUUGUUUUUAUUAAGGAAUGAAUUUUGUGAAUAUCUUGUUUAAGAUAUGGUUUGGUAAGUCUUAAUUGAUUUAUAUUAUUUUUGUGGUUAUGUUUUUACCUAAGCAAUGUGUAAUUGUGAUAAUUAAUUAAUUUAUGAAUUAAAUAUCUUAAUUAGCUAAUUUUCUCUCCCUCUCCCUCUCUCUUUUUUCGAAACCUUCUCUCCCUCUCCCCACUAUUUUCUCAA